This 124-nucleotide microRNA precursor is filed under the name Hordeum vulgare. RNAcentral's name for it is "microRNA MIR1122". It matches the Rfam family "MIR1120/MIR1122 microRNA precursor family". The record is from RNAcentral. Lineage: Eukaryota; Viridiplantae; Streptophyta; Magnoliopsida; Poales; Poaceae.
UAAAUACUCCUUCCGUCCGGAAAUACUUGUCUUAGAAAUACAUGUAUCUAGACUUAUUUUAGUUAUAGAUACAUCCAUUUUAUACAUUUCUAGGACAAGUAUUUCCGGACGGAGGGAGUAUAAG